CAGCACCACAGAGACGCUGGCCCGGGCCCAAGCAGCCAAGCCCAGGUGAGAGGUGGUGGGGUCCAGGGUGGCCUUUGUCCCCAUUGUGAUUCCCAAGUACAAAGGCCAGGUGAAAGGCCACUAAAAUUUGGAAAAGGGGUGUGGGAGAGCUCGUGGCCUACGUUAUGGGUCUAACGCCCAGCUCUGCUCAUCCAUUGUCCUAAUGCUCUGCCAACUUCUCCAGCCCACAGGCACCCGUCCAACCUUUUGACCUUCUCAAGGCUCAAGAUGUGGAAAUGCGGCCUUGGGAGAUGCAUUCCUCCAUGGGUCCUUGGCUGGUGAGAGGCAGAGCUGGUGAGCCUAGGGAGUCUGUUCUCCAGUGCUUCCGAGCACCAACAGUGAGCCAGGGCCCCUGGUUCCCAUCAUUGCACGAGAACCACACGGGCUCCGUCAGACAAGAGGUCCCCAUCAAGUCCACACAGGGGCGCCCAGGCUGAAAGGGGACAGCUUCAGUCCUGGGAACCUCCAGGACCCUCCCGGGCCUCUUUGCAAUUGUGACCACACCAGGUGUGGCUCAGGGAACCCUGGAGAGGAGGCAAAAGAGAAUGGACAGCGUGCAGCUAAUUUCUCAAGAAGGAAGCCCAGAUCCAAACACCAAAGCCUUCCUUUCCACGUCUCCAACACCAUUCCUCUUGUGCGCACUGUCACAUGAAAGAAAUCGAGAGACUGGUUUGACUCUGUCCUUCUUCUGGGGCUUGCUUGCCUAGCAGAUUUGAGUCAAGGUCAGGGAAGCCUCUCUCUUCCACCCUGCAUGGUGCCUCUGUGACCAGCCAGCUCCCUGCCCCACCUCCCUGGGCCCAGCAUGCAGCUUGCCAACUGGCAGCCCAGGGUCGAGGACUGGGCUCCCUGGAAACAGCCUCAAAUCAUCCAGGAUGCUGCCAGCUGUGGAGCAAGUGCCCAGAGCCCAUUCCUGCUCUCUGCCCUCGCCUCAUCGUGGUGAUCACGGGAUCCAGGAGCUGUGGGUUAUGGAGCCCCUCUGUGGACCGGGCCUCUGCCCAUACAUUGCACUGAAUCCUCUCACAGGCCAGCCAGCUCCUUGUCAUCGUUGUCUUAACAUCAUGGGGACACAUUACACAUGCUGGAGAAGAUGCCUCUGUGGGAAAUGUACUCAGGAGGCCCCUGCACCAUUCUCUACCUUCCUCUCUGCUCUGACCUGUGACCAGGCAAGAAGGAUAGGGACCAGUUCUCUCCCCACACUAACGCUCCAAGGUGACUGUCACAGUGGGUUUCACCCGCAGCCUCCUCCAUCUGCCUAGAAGAGACCAGAGGCACACACAGAAACAAGACGGUCAGGGGCUCUGGGGCCCUGCAGAGGGCGGAUGCCUGCGAGGCAGAAGUGCCACCUGCUGGUGGACAUCGGCAUGGCCGACAGCACCCCAGCUCACUCCCCACGAAUCCAGGCAUCUGCUAGCAGGAUGGCGAUCAUGACAUCCAGCGACGUCAUGGGCGUUUCCAGAAGCUGCCCAGCAGUGGGCCUGGGGCGCGGCAGCUUCAUCACUGGGUUCAUUUUCCCGCCUAACUACAGGGAGUGUGUUGUGCUGCUGGUCACCAGCAGAGGGCGCACCUAAAGCAAGCGAGGGCCGGAAGUUUUUGAGCCUGGCCUGCCUUUUGGAAUAUUUUUUAUAACGAUGCAAAAUUCAGAAUUAAAGCAAGC
Long non-coding RNA from Equus caballus (horse), 1693 nucleotides. NCBI's taxonomy places the organism in Eukaryota, Metazoa, Chordata, Mammalia, Perissodactyla, Equidae. The record is from Ensembl.